AGAGUUUGAUCAUGGCUCAGAUUGAACGCUGGCGGAAUGCCUAACACAUGCAAGUCGAGCGGGGUAGCAAUAUCCAGCGGCGGACGGGUGAGGAAUACAUAGGAAUCUGCCUUUAGGUGGGGGAUAGCUUGGGGAAACUCAAGGUAAUACCGCAUGAUCUCGCAAGAGCAAAGUGGGGGACCGCAAGGCCUCACGCCUUUAGAGGAGCCUAUGUCUGAUUAGCUAGUUGGUGAGGUAAUGGCUCACCAAGGCGACGAUCAGUAACUGGUCUGAGAGGACGAUCAGUCACACCGGAACUGAGACACGGUCCGGACUCCUACGGGAGGCAGCAGUGGGGAAUAUUGGACAAUGGGCGAAAGCCUGAUCCAGCAAUUCCGCGUGUGUGAAGAAGGCCUUCGGGUUGUAAAGCACUUUAGGUUGGGAAGAAAAAGCUCUGACUAAUAUUCGGAGUGUUGACGGUACCAACAGAAUAAGCACCGGCUAACUCUGUGCCAGCAGCCGCGGUAAUACAGAGGGUGCAAGCGUUAAUCGGAUUUACUGGGCGCAAAGCGUGCGUAGGUGGUUUCGUAAGUCGGAUGUGAAAGCCCCGGGCUCAACCUGGGAACUGCAUUCGAUACUGCGAGACUCGAGUUUGGUAGAGGGUGGCGGAAUUCCCGGUGUAGCGGUGAAAUGCGUAGAUAUCGGGAGGAACAUCAAUGGCGAAGGCAGCCACCUGGGCCUGGACUGACACUGAGGCACGAAAGCGUGGGUAGCAAACAGGAUUAGAUACCCUGGUAGUCC
Molecule: ribosomal RNA, 780 nt
Filed under: uncultured bacterium
Lineage: Bacteria
Description: bacterial SSU rRNA
Rfam family: Bacterial small subunit ribosomal RNA
Source: RNAcentral